UAUUAUUGUUGAAAACAUGAACGUUAGAGAUCACUGUUAACAGAUAGAGUUGUUGGAAAUUAUUGUCAUGUGUACUCUACGCUAUGAGACUUAAAUGUUUUAAAAUCAAUGAGGUGAACCCUUCACUAACCGAAGAUAACCACAAUCUGGAGACCAUCUUGCAUGCUCGAUCCAAGGUUCGUCGUUCGGCUCCCAAGAUCUCAGACCUUGACGACAAUAAAAACAUGAGACAUCAUCAUUUGAUCCAUCACCAAUAUAAAUAAAACCGGCUUCACUCAUAAGUUCUCGCUUUGAAAUAAGUAGUGUAUUACUACAUUUAUCAAAAGUCUUGUUACGCGUUUUACAAUCUAAAUAGUCUAAUGUACAAAAAACAUCACAUUCACUAUUAUAAU
This is a long non-coding RNA of Adelges cooleyi (spruce gall adelgid), 392 nucleotides long. RefSeq lists it as uncharacterized. NCBI's taxonomy places the organism in Eukaryota, Metazoa, Arthropoda, Insecta, Hemiptera, Adelgidae. The record is from RefSeq and is a predicted model, not a curated record. The transcript is spliced from 3 exons.